RNAcentral lists this transfer RNA (70 nucleotides) under Marmota monax (woodchuck). RNAcentral's name for it is "tRNA.Gly". Lineage: Eukaryota; Metazoa; Chordata; Mammalia; Rodentia; Sciuridae. The record is from RNAcentral.
GCGAUAUAGCUCAGUGGUAGAGUUCUUGCUUACCAUGUGUGAGGCCUUGGGUUCAAUCUCCAGAAACACA